UAGGAUGUUUGUUUUCCUUUUUAUUGAGAAUGAAGAGAAUUAAUUUUGAAGAAUUUUAGACAAGGCAGUGAAAAAAUUCUAACGGACAAUUCUGUUGAUAAGAAAUCAAACUUCAAAUCAUUUCAAGAUGGAUGUUUGUGGAAAGUUCUACCAUUUUAACCCAAAAUUAAAAAAAUUGGAUUGUUCUUUUACCGAGUGAUCAAUCUUCAAGGACACAAAAGUAGAAUUAACGAAAUGAAAUAUUCCUUUAAUCAAGCACAAAUGCUAUUUCGCCUGAACUACAGACUUAGUUUCCAACAUAGGUAACUGUUGCAGCCAUGGGCUCUUUUUCUACCUCACCCCCCACCCACCUCGAAGACAGAAAGAAAAUUCAGAAACUGUGGUACCUGAUCGACAUCUACUGGAAGCCAUCUCUUGAUUAUCUAUUUCGUCUUUCUGAGAGUCAACUUAACCCCUUCGACCUUCAUCACCCCACCCCCCACCCUCCAUUGCCUCACACCCUCUCAUCUCAAUUCCCCCCACUAUCUGUGACCCUCCCUGCCAUCAAAUGCUGAAGGUCCGAUGUUCAUUCUGUUUAGUUUUCCCCGGUUUGUUUCUGCCAUUCGAGGCUUAAGCCGUGCUGGGUUAAACUAAGCUCCAAGAAAUUUUUCACUA
Molecule: long non-coding RNA, 654 nt
Organism: Octopus bimaculoides (California two-spot octopus)
Lineage: Eukaryota; Metazoa; Mollusca; Cephalopoda; Octopoda; Octopodidae
Source: RefSeq, a predicted model, not a curated record